CCUGUUUUACAAAAACAUGUCUUUUUGAGUUAUUUUAAAAGUCUGACCUGCCCACUGAAAUUAUUUAAAUGGCCGCAGUAUUCUAACUGUGCAAAGGUAGCAUAAUCAUUAGUCUUUUAAUUGAAGGCUGGUAUGAACGGUUGGACGAGGUAUAAGCUGUUUCAUAUAAAUUUAUAAUAGAAUUUUAUAUUUUAGUCAAAAAGCUAAAAUUUAAUUAAAAGACGAGAAGACCCUAUAAAUCUUUAUAUUUUAAGUUGUUUAAAUUUUUUAGAUUAAUUUUAUUUUUAUAGUUUAGAGUAUUUUGUUGGGGUGAUAUUAAAAUUUAAUGAACUUUUAGUUGUUAAAAAUCAUUAAUUUAUGAGUUAUUGAUCCAUUAAUAGUGAUUAUAAGAUUAAGUUACUUUAGGGAUAACAGCGUAAUUUUUUUGGAGAGUUCAUAUCGAUAAAAAAGUUUGCGACCUCGAUGUUGGAUUAAGAUAUAUUUUAGGUGUAGCCGCUUAAAU
RNAcentral lists this ribosomal RNA (502 nucleotides) under Bactrocera aquilonis. RNAcentral's name for it is "partial large subunit ribosomal RNA". It matches the Rfam family "Bacterial large subunit ribosomal RNA", at positions 1799 to 2568 of the family's 2925-position model. The record is from RNAcentral. Lineage: Eukaryota; Metazoa; Arthropoda; Insecta; Diptera; Tephritidae.